UAGAGUUUGAUCCUGGCUCAGAGCGAACGCUGGCGGCAUGCUUAACACAUGCAAGUCGCACGGGCAGGGGCAACCCUGUCAGUGGCGGACGGGUGAGUAACGCGUAGGUAUCUAUCCUUGGGUGGGGGACAACUGUGGGAAACUACAGCUAAUACCGCAUGAUAACUGAGGUUUAAAGGCGCAAGUCGCCUGAGGAGGAGCCUGCGUACGAUUAGCUUGUUGGUGGGGUAAAGGCCUACCAAGGCGACGAUCGUUAGCUGGUCUGAGAGGAUGAUCAGCCACAUUGGGACUGAGACACGGCCCAAACUCCUACGGGAGGCAGCAGUGGGGAAUAUUGGACAAUGGGCGCAAGCCUGAUCCAGCAAUGCCGCGUGUGUGAAGAAGGUCUUCGGAUUGUAAAGCACUUUCGACGGGGACGAUGAUGACGGUACCCGUAGAAGAAGCCCCGGCUAACUUCGUGCCAGCAGCCGCGGUAGUCGGCCCA
Molecule: ribosomal RNA, 484 nt
Filed under: uncultured bacterium
Lineage: Bacteria
Description: bacterial SSU rRNA
Rfam family: Bacterial small subunit ribosomal RNA
Source: RNAcentral